GACGAACGCUGGCGGCGUGCUUAACACAUGCAAGUCGAACGGUGAAGCGCCUUCCUUUUUGGUGGGUGUGGAUGAGUGGCGAACGGGUGAGUAACACGUGAGUAACCUGCCCCCUUCUUCUGGAUAACCGCAUGAAAGUGUGGCUAAUACGGGAUAUUCUGGGUCUGUCGCAUGAUGGGUCUGGGAAAGAUAUUGUUUCGGUGGGGGAUGGGCUCGCGGCCUAUCAGCUUGUUGGUGGGGUGAUGGCCUACCAAGGCGGUGACGGGUAGCCGGCCUGAGAGGGUGGACGGUCACACUGGGACUGAGACACGGCCCAGACUCCUACGGGAGGCAGCAGUGGGGAAUAUUGCACAAUGGGCGCAAGCCUGAUGCAGCGACGCCGCGUGAGGGAUGGAGGCCUUCGGGUUGU
Molecule: ribosomal RNA, 409 nt
Filed under: Actinomyces sp. oral taxon 171
Lineage: Bacteria; Bacillati; Actinomycetota; Actinomycetes; Actinomycetales; Actinomycetaceae
Description: bacterial SSU rRNA
Rfam family: Bacterial small subunit ribosomal RNA
Source: RNAcentral